CAUCAAUAAGCGGAGGAAAAGAAACCAACAGGGAUUGCCUCAGUAACGGCGAGUGAAGCGGCAACAGCUCAAAUUUGAAAUCCGGCUCCCUCCGGGGCCCGAGUUGUAAUUUGCAGAGGAUGCUUCGGCGUCGGCCCCGGGCCAAGUCCCUUGGAACAGGGCGUCCUGGAGGGUGAGAGCCCCGUACGCCCGGGCCGCCUUCGCCGUGUGAAGCUCCUUCGACGAGUCGAGUUGUUUGGGAAUGCAGCUCUAAGGGGGAGGUAAAUUUCUUCUAAAGCUAAAUACCGGCCAGAGACCGAUAGCGCACAAGUAGAGUGAUCGAAAGAUGAAAAGCACUUUGGAAAGAGAGUUAAAAAGCACGUGAAAUUGUUGAAAGGGAAGCUCUUGCCGCCAGACUUGCCGCGGAUGCUCAGCCGCCCCUUUGGGCGGUGCACUCUUCCGCCGGCAGGCCAGCGUCAGCUCGGGCGGCCGGACAAAGGCCCCGGGAAUGUAGCCCCCCUCGGGGGGCGUUAUAGCCCGGGGUGCAAUGCGGCCAGCCCGGGUUGAGGCACGCGUUCGCUAGGACGCUGGCGUAAUGGCCGCAAGCGACCCGUCUUGAAACACGGACCAAGGAGUCUAACAUCUGUGCGAGUGUUUGGGUGUCAAACCCAUGCGCGUAAUGAAAGUGAACGGAGGUGGGAACCCCCAAGGGUGCACCAUCGACCGAUCCUGAUGUCCUCGGAUGGAUUUGAGUAAGAGCAUAGCUGUUGGGACCCGAAAGAUGGUGAACUAUGCCUGAAUAGGGUGAAGCCAGAGGAAACUCUGGUGGAGGCUCGCAGCGGUUCUGACGUGCAAAUCGAUCGUCAAAUUUGGGUAUAGGGGCGAAAGACUAAUCGAACCAU
Molecule: ribosomal RNA, 881 nt
Filed under: Lecanographa lyncea
Lineage: Eukaryota; Fungi; Ascomycota; Arthoniomycetes; Arthoniales; Lecanographaceae
Description: LSU rRNA
Rfam family: Eukaryotic large subunit ribosomal RNA
Source: RNAcentral